UCGCGCCCCGCCUGGCCACGCAGCGCUGGCCCGCAGGGAUGCCCGGCGACGGAGGCGCAAGCAGCCACGUCCUGGCGCCGGCAUUUCCCGUGUCAAUGCCAGUCACGACCAUGGCCGUUAUCAGCCGGGCAUGGGCUUCAGCUUUGCGCAGCGAUAAGAUGGCCUUCAUGUCCUGGGUCUGCCCGUCCUCGCACUCUGUCUAAGCAGGCGAAUAGCACAUCUCCACAACAGACCGCCUGCAGCCUGCAACUCGUCACAGGUCCUCAGCCACCGAGGCUUUGCAUAUGCUGUUAACAACCGCCGCUUUACACAGCUGUGAGGGAGUGACAGUUGAGGCCCAACUUACGUCUAAAGGAGAAGCAAGGAAGAUAACAGAAGCAGAUGAGAAAACGGAGGCAAAGAAGAAUAAAGUAACUUGUUCAAAAUAGCAGUGAAUAAAAGGCAGAUCCAGGACUGAAAUCAAGUCAUCUGGCUACCACACAUCUUAUGCUAGACUCAGGCCCAUCAUGUCAAAGAAGACCAAGAGAAUGCUGAUGGAAGGAAGCAGAUUUCUUUAAUGAGGACUGGGAAUUGCAAUAUUAUCUUGUUUCUGCUAAAGAUAAGAUAAUUUGC
Non-coding RNA from Microcebus murinus (gray mouse lemur), 612 nucleotides. NCBI's taxonomy places the organism in Eukaryota, Metazoa, Chordata, Mammalia, Primates, Cheirogaleidae. The record is from RefSeq and is a predicted model, not a curated record.